CUCUGUGGAGCAGCCCCUCAGCCCUCUCCAGGAGGCUGGCUGUGUGGGGUCCCUGCUCCUGGGCAUUUGCUGUGCAACUUCACAUCAAAACCAACUCCCCCAGCUGGAAUGAGGACCAGGGUUCUGGGAGAGGAGAUGCUGCUUUCAAGAUGCACGUGAACGUGAACUUCUGAAGAGCCUGCAGCACGGCCACCCUGUCCUGCCCAGUCUCCAUUUGGGAGAUUACACCAUUGGGUUCCUGGUUUCACUUUGCCCUCACCAACUUUCCAUACUGUCCAGAGACAGUUUGACGCUUGGAGAACACAGUCACUUUCAGAGGGAGGUGCUUUUGCCGAGGAGAAGGGGCAGGAGAUAACUGGCUGUGUGGGAAGGAUCCACUGGUCGGCUCCAAGGCCAUCGAAUAUGGAGAAACUACUAGUGAGGAAGCCUUCCAGUGGGAGCACUGAAUGUCUGUACACUUAGAUGUCCAGUGAGCUUCAGAAUUAAUCAUGAACAUACCAAAAAAGAAAGUUCUAAGCGAGCGUGAUUGAAGAGGAGAAGGUACAAGAGUCAUCGAAGCCCAAUGGAUAAAAAUGAUGGAUUUGAUCUCUACCCAUAUGGAAAUUUUGAUGUUAGAUAAAAACAGUUGAAAAUUUUCUUUACUCAGUUAUAAGACAGUAAAAGUUAAUAGUGUGAACAAAAUGGCGGAGGAGUAAAGUGGUUGAGAAAAAAUUUUUUUUGAAUAUUUUAAAAUCAUUUAUGUACAUGUAAAAAUAAAGUCCCUAACUAUGUGCGAUAUCUGCUUAAUUCUGUUAACAGUUAAUUUUGUUAGCUCAGUCUGAGUUACUAUCAUAUUUGAACAUAAUAAAACUUUUUUUUUUAAAGUAGUCUGCAAUGAAGACUUUUAGUAACUCACGACAUCUGUUACCCCCAUUUCAUUCCAAUUUUGAUUUAAAUAAUUGGUAAGAAAGUGAAUGCCUCCUAUACCGUCUUUGAGUUUUCAGUGCCCAGCAUUGAGCCUGGCUCAUGGAGGGUGUUCAGAAAACAUCUGUGGACAGAAUGAAAGCCGUGCUUUAUGUAGAUUUUAAAUUAAAACGUGGCAAGAUUUUGAGUCAAAAUAAUAUUUUAGAUUUCCUGGUCGUACAGAUUCAAAAAGAGAGCCAUCUCUAAAUGUUCUGAAAAUGUUGGUCUGUCUCAGUUCUCUUAUAAGAGUAGUUGAAAAUUCAUAGAAUACAGCUACGUCAUCUUGGCCUUUGGGCAACAGGAAAACCAAAAGCUGGAGAGGGCCCUCUGGAACAGUGUGAGGGGGAGACCCCAGGUCAUUGUUUUUGAACUUUAACAAAAAUCAUUUUGCAUGUGGACAGUAUUUUUAACUUUUCAGUCUGUGACCCUGUAUUAAUUUUUAUUCUCAUAGCAAUCUGUGUGAGAGGUAAGGCAGAUAUGACACCUGAUUCUCAUUUUUUUUUUUUU
This 1449-nucleotide long non-coding RNA is filed under the name Equus caballus (horse). RNAcentral's name for it is "lncRNA (ENSECAG00000048372.1)". The record is from RNAcentral. Lineage: Eukaryota; Metazoa; Chordata; Mammalia; Perissodactyla; Equidae.